Molecule: long non-coding RNA, 622 nt
Organism: Dalotia coriaria
Lineage: Eukaryota; Metazoa; Arthropoda; Insecta; Coleoptera; Staphylinidae
Exons: 11
Source: RefSeq, a predicted model, not a curated record
UAUGCAGGUACCAAAGUCAUAUAGAACAAACAUUUGAGUGUGCUGUUGUUCAUUGGUGGCACUUAGGACUUCUUCAUCUCUGGCAAGGCACACAACAUUGGGGACAUUGCUCUAACAGAAACCAGCCAGAAUUUCCAGACAUCGAAUUAAAGGUGUCUAGCAGACGAACAAAUUGUCCCAGGACAACAAUUCUUUCAGCAGAUUGUGUCUAGCAGGCGAACAAAUUGUCACAGGACAACGAUUCUUUCAUCAAAUUGUGUCUAGCGGGCGAACAGAAUCUCCUAGGACAACGAUUCUUUCAUCAGAUUGUGUCUAGCAGGCGAACAAAUUGUCACAGGACAACGAUUCUUUCAUCAGAUUGUGUCUAGCGGGCUAACGGAAUGUCCUAGGACAACGAUUCUUUCAUCAAAUUGUGUCUAGCGGGCGAACGGAAUGUCUUAGGACAACGACUCUUCCAUCAGAUUGUGUCUAGCGGGCGAACGGAAUCUCCUAGGACAACGAUUCUUUCAUCAGAUUGUGUCUAGCGGGCGAACGGAAUCUCCUAGGACAACGAUUCUUUCAUCAGAUUGUGUCUAGCGGGCGAACGGAAUGUCCUAGAACAACGAUUCUUCCAUCAGAUUGU